RNAcentral lists this ribosomal RNA (367 nucleotides) under uncultured bacterium. RNAcentral's name for it is "bacterial SSU rRNA". It matches the Rfam family "Bacterial small subunit ribosomal RNA", at positions 527 to 896 of the family's 1533-position model. The record is from RNAcentral.
GGAGGGUGCAAGCGUUAUCCGGAUUCACUGGGUUUAAAGGGUGCGUAGGCGGGCAUUUAAGUCAGUGGUGAAAUACCUGAGCUUAACUUGGGAACUGCCAUUGAUACUAUUUGUCUUGAAUGUCGUGGAGGUUAGCGGAAUAUGUCAUGUAGCGGUGAAAUGCUUAGAUAUGACAUAGAACACCUAUUGCGAAGGCAGCUAACUACGCGAAUAUUGACGCUGAGGCACGAAAGCGUGGGGAUCAAACAGGAUUAGAUACCCUGGUAGUCCACGCCCUAAACGAUGAUUACUCGACAUUGGCGAUACACUGUCAGUGUCUGAGCGAAAGCAUUAAGUAAUCCACCUGGGAAGUACGACCGCAAGGUUG